UUUUUUUGAUGGGUAAAGGAGGCCUGGAAGGACCACCUGGUUUUUAUUGAUCAAGUAUGUACAAAGAGAGGAGAAGGAAAGCAAAACACAAACAACGAUAGAGAGGAGAGCAAAACUUGAGAGACAAAAACUCUGCUUAGUACCAACAACACUCUUCUCUAUGGCCACAAUGCUAACAGUAGGCUCAAGAAGUGCUAGCAGCAGGACCAAUAACAGCGCACAAUAAGGGCAUACUUUGCACAAGUGGGAUCAGACGCCUCCAGAGGUUUUGGUGUUUGUCUCAAUCCUUAAAGGAACAAAAAUGCUGUCAGUUGAAGAACAGAUGAAGAAUUCUCUGAAGAGUAGCGAAAAUAGAGCUUGGCCUUCUAAGGAAACUAUGCUCGUCAUGUUAGCAAUUCACAACCAUGUAAAAAUUAAAUACUCAA
RNAcentral lists this long non-coding RNA (425 nucleotides) under Elaeis guineensis (African oil palm). RNAcentral describes it as "long non-coding RNA (EGUI_LNC077789)". The record is from RNAcentral. Lineage: Eukaryota; Viridiplantae; Streptophyta; Magnoliopsida; Arecales; Arecaceae.